UAAGGCAAAACCGCGAAUGGCUCAUUAAACCAGUUAUGAUCCACUAGAUGGAAAACCCAUUACUCGGAUAACCCUGGUAAUUCUAGAGCUAAUACGUGCUACAUGCUCCGACCGAGAGGGAGGAGUGCUUUUAUUAGAUGAAAACCAAUCGGACCUCGGUCCGUCUCACGAGAACGUGACGAUUCUGAAUAACUUUGUGCAGAGGGCACGGUCUCCGCACCGGCCCCGUGUCUUUCGAGUUUCUGCUUUAUCAUGCUGUGGAUUGUAGGCCAUACGCCUACAGUGGCUGUAACGGAUGACGGAGAAUCAGGGUUCGAUUCCGGAGAGGGAGCCUGAGAAACGGCUACCACAUCCAAGGAAGGCAGCAGGCACGCAAAUUACCCAAUCCCAGCCCGGGGAGGUAGUGACGAAAAAUAACGAUGCGGGACACUUCUGUGUCUGCGUAAUCGGAAUGAGCACACCCCAAACCAUUGUGCAACAACCGAUUGGAGGGCAAGUCUGGUGCCAGCAGCCGCGGUAAUUCCAGCUCCAAUAGCGUAUAUUAAAGUUGUUGCGGUUAAAAAGCUCGUAGUCCGAGCUCAGUUCCGGACUGGCCGGGGAGGUCACCGCCCGGUGCCUUGCCUGGGCCAGGCUCCGAACCAAUGCCCCCGGUCUCCGGGGGCGACACGCCGGUGCUCGCCGGGGUGCUCUUGACCGAGUGUCCCGCGCGGCCGGCCAGUUCACCUUGAAUAAAUGAGAGUGCUCAAAGCAGGCUACUCUUGAAACCUAAAGCCCGAAUGUUACCUGCAUGGAAUGAUGGAAGAUGAUCUCGGUUCCAUUUUAUUGGGGGUGGGAAUCCGAGUUAAUGAUAAACAGGGACUGUCGGGGGCAUCCGUACUACGACGCGAGAGGUGAAAUUCAGUGACCGUCGUAGGACGAACGACAGCGAAAGCAUUUGCCAAGAAUGUCUUCGUUGAUCAAGAACGAAAGUUAGAGGAUCGAAGGCGAUCAGAUACCGCCCUAGUUCUAACCCUAAACGAUGCUGACUAGCAAUUCGCCGUCGUUAUUCCCAUGACGUGGCGAGACGCCCCCGGGAAACCUCAAGUCUUUGAGUUCCGGGGGUAGUAUGGUUGCAAAACUGAAACUUAAAGGAAUUGACGGAAGGGCACCACCAGGAGUGGAGCCUGCGGCUUAAUUUGACUCAACACGGGGAACCUCACCAGGCCCGGACAC
Molecule: ribosomal RNA, 1212 nt
Filed under: Heptacarpus brevirostris
Lineage: Eukaryota; Metazoa; Arthropoda; Malacostraca; Decapoda; Hippolytidae
Description: SSU rRNA
Rfam family: Eukaryotic small subunit ribosomal RNA
Source: RNAcentral